Long non-coding RNA from Vidua chalybeata, 737 nucleotides. RefSeq lists it as uncharacterized. The record is from RefSeq and is a predicted model, not a curated record. NCBI's taxonomy places the organism in Eukaryota, Metazoa, Chordata, Aves, Passeriformes, Viduidae. The transcript is spliced from 4 exons.
CUCUCAGGAAUGAACAGAGGGGUGGCCACAAGACUGACAUGGGGAAGCUCCAACGUUAAGUGACCUGGAGUGGACCACUGUGCAGGGAAAUGGGGGUACAUAGAACCGGCUAACUAACAUUUAUCAGAACCCCUAACUAAACCAACCCGGGAUGCAACAACAGCAGCCAGAGAAGAGCAGUGAGCAUCUGAGAGCUGCAGCCCUGCAACAUCCAGGUCCUUUGGAAGAAUCCUGUCCCAGGCUGCACCUGAACUAUUCCUGAUGCCUAACAUCCCUGACUGAUAAGCAGCUAUGGUGGGACAAGCAGCCACUGCUAGAUGUAGCCGCUGCCUGGAUUCGAGUACAAUUAUAUGUGCAUGGUGCAAGUCACUUGGCUUUUAACACCCUUUCAUCACAAAACUACAUGGUUACUGUUCAGGAAAUCCAGAAAAAAGUUACAGACUGGCAUUUAUUGGAAAAGCAAACUCUAUCACAUGCACAUCCUAUACUAUUAUUGUAUGGUUUUUUUCCUUCAAGUAUACAAUUAUGAAAUGGUAAAAGGCUUUAAGUUGAUGCUGAUAAACUAUGCCUUGAAUUACUUCUACUCUGACAUGCAUAGGUGAACCUUACAUUUAGUUUACUCAGAGAAAAAUCUAAAUUUCAUUGUAUAAUAUCACAUUUAAGGACCACUUAACUAUAAGUUAAUACAAACCUACAGUAGUAGGAUGCAAAAUAAAGUGUAAUCCAUUAAAAAUGAA